GAUGAACGCUGGCGGCGUGCCUAAUACAUGCAAGUAGAACGCUGAAGGAGGAGCUUGCUCUUUCCGGAUGAGUUGCGAACGGGUGAGUAACGCGUAGGUAACCUGCCUGGUAGCGGGGGAUAACUAUUGGAAACGAUAGCUAAUACCGCAUAACAGUAGAUAUUGCAUGAUAUCUGCUUGAAAGGUGCAAUUGCAUCACUACCAGAUGGACCUGCGUUGUAUUAGCUAGUUGGUGAGGUAACGGCUCACCAAGGCGACGAUACAUAGCCGACCUGAGAGGGUGAUCGGCCACACUGGGACUGAGACACGGCCCAGACUCCUACGGGAGGCAGCAGUAGGGAAUCUUCGGCAAUGGACGGAAGUCUGACCGAGCAACGCCGCGUGAGUGAAGAAGGUUUUCGGAUCGUAAAGCUCUGUUGUAAGAGAAGA
RNAcentral lists this ribosomal RNA (429 nucleotides) under Streptococcus sp. oral taxon 431. RNAcentral describes it as "bacterial SSU rRNA". It matches the Rfam family "Bacterial small subunit ribosomal RNA", at positions 28 to 448 of the family's 1533-position model. Lineage: Bacteria; Bacillati; Bacillota; Bacilli; Lactobacillales; Streptococcaceae. The record is from RNAcentral.